GACAGAGGGUGCUAGCGUUGUUCGGAAUUACUGGGCGUAAAGGGCGCGUAGGCGGUCUGCUAAGUUCGGUGUGAAAUCCCCUGGCUCAACUGGGGAACUGCGCUGGAAACUGGCAGACUCGAGUACCGGAGAGGAGAGUGGAAUUCCUGGUGUAGCGGUGAAAUGCGUAGAUAUCAGGAGGAACACCGGUGGCGAAGGCGGCUCUCUGGACGGAUACUGACGCUGAGGCGCGAAAGCGUGGGGAGCGAACAGG
RNAcentral lists this ribosomal RNA (253 nucleotides) under uncultured bacterium. RNAcentral describes it as "partial 16S ribosomal RNA". It matches the Rfam family "Bacterial small subunit ribosomal RNA", at positions 524 to 776 of the family's 1533-position model. The record is from RNAcentral.